RNAcentral lists this ribosomal RNA (1079 nucleotides) under uncultured bacterium. RNAcentral's name for it is "bacterial SSU rRNA". It matches the Rfam family "Bacterial small subunit ribosomal RNA", at positions 73 to 1162 of the family's 1533-position model. The record is from RNAcentral.
CCCUGCUUUUGUGGGGUGCUCGAGUGGCGAACGGGUGAGUAACACGUGAGUAACCUGCCCUUGACUUUGGGAUAACUUCAGGAAACUGGGGCUAAUACCGGAUAGGAGCUCCUGCUGCAUGGUGGGGGUUGGAAAGUUUCGGCGGUUGGGGAUGGACUCGCGGCUUAUCAGCUUGUUGGUGGGGUAGUGGCUUACCAAGGCUUUGACGGGUAGCCGGCCUGAGAGGGUGACCGGCCACAUUGGGACUGAGAUACGGCCCAGACUCCUACGGGAGGCAGCAGUGGGGAAUAUUGCACAAUGGGCGGAAGCCUGAUGCAGCAACGCCGCGUGCGGGAUGACGGCCUUCGGGUUGUAAACCGCUUUUGCCUGUGACGAAGCGUGAGUGACGGUAAUGGGUAAAGAAGCACCGGCUAACUACGUGCCAGCAGCCGCGGUGAUACGUAGGGUGCGAGCGUUGUCCGGAUUUAUUGGGCGUAAAGGGCUCGUAGGUGGUUGAUCGCGUCGGAAGUGUAAUCUUGGGGCUUAACCCUGAGCGUGCUUUCGAUACGGGUUGACUUGAGGAAGGUAGGGGAGAAUGGAAUUCCUGGUGGAGCGGUGGAAUGCGCAGAUAUCAGGAGGAACACCAGUGGCGAAGGCGGUUCUCUGGGCCUUUCCUGACGCUGAGGAGCGAAAGCGUGGGGAGCGAACAGGCUUAGAUACCCUGGUAGUCCACGCUGUAAACGGUGGGUACUAGGUGUGGGGUCCAUUCCACGGGUUCCGUGCCGUAGCUAACGCUUUAAGUACCCCGCCUGGGGAGUACGGCCGCAAGGCUAAAACUCAAAGGAAUUGACGGGGCCCCGCACAAGCGGCGGAGCAUGCGGAUUAAUUCGAUGCAACGCGUAGAACCUUACCUGGGUUUGACAUGGAUCGGGAGUGCUCAGAGAUGGGUGUGCCUCUUUUGGGGUCGGUUCACAGGUGGUGCACGGCUGUCGUCAGCUCGUGUCGUGAGAUGUUGGGUUAAGUCCCGCAACGAGCGCAACCCUUGUUCACUGUUGCCAGCACGUUAUGGUGGGGACUCAGUGGAGACCGCCGGGGUCAAC